RNAcentral lists this long non-coding RNA (145 nucleotides) under Chinchilla lanigera (long-tailed chinchilla). RNAcentral describes it as "lncRNA (ENSCLAG00000026322.1)". The record is from RNAcentral. Lineage: Eukaryota; Metazoa; Chordata; Mammalia; Rodentia; Chinchillidae.
UUUGAAAACAGUGCGUAUACCUGGGCUGAGAAGGCGCAACAUGACCUCUUAAUAUGAGUGAUUUGAUUGGAUUGCUCUCUCAGAGGGCUGAUGCUAUAAAGCUGGAAAAAGCACACACGGAACAAAUAAAUAAAUAAAUAGCCGC